GCCCGGGUGGCGGAAUUGGUAGACGCGCAUGCUUCAGGUGCAUGUCUUCGUAAGAAGGUGGGAGUUCAAGUCUCCCCCCGGGCACCA
This 87-nucleotide transfer RNA is filed under the name Olavius algarvensis Gamma 3 endosymbiont. It matches the Rfam family "tRNA". Rfam says of the family: Transfer RNA (tRNA) molecules are approximately 80 nucleotides in length. Their secondary structure includes four short double-helical elements and three loops (D, anti-codon, and T loops). Further hydrogen bonds mediate the characteristic L-shaped molecular structure. tRNAs have two regions of fundamental functional importance: the anti-codon, which is responsible for specific mRNA codon recognition, and the 3' end, to which the tRNAs corresponding amino acid is attached (by aminoacyl-tRNA synthetases). tRNAs cope with the degeneracy of the genetic code in two manners: having more than one tRNA (with a specific anti-codon) for a particular amino acid; and 'wobble' base-pairing, i.e. permitting non-standard base-pairing at the 3rd anti-codon position. Lineage: Bacteria; Pseudomonadati; Pseudomonadota; Gammaproteobacteria. The record is from RNAcentral.